UACGUAGGGCGCAAGCGUUAUCCGGAAUUAUUGGGCGUAAAGAGCUCGUAGGCGGUUUGUCGCGUCUGCCGUGAAAACCCGGAGCUCAACUCCGGGCCUGCAGUCGAUACGGGCGGACUCGAGUUCGGCAGGGGAGACUGGAAUUCCUGGUGUAGCGGUGAAAUGCGUAGAUAUCUGGAGGAAUACCGGUGGCGAAGGCGGCAUCCUGGACCGGCAUUGACGCUGAGGAGCGAAAGCCAGGGGAGCAAACGGG
RNAcentral lists this ribosomal RNA (253 nucleotides) under uncultured bacterium. Its description in RNAcentral is "partial 16S ribosomal RNA". It matches the Rfam family "Bacterial small subunit ribosomal RNA", at positions 524 to 776 of the family's 1533-position model. The record is from RNAcentral.